This 253-nucleotide ribosomal RNA is filed under the name uncultured bacterium. RNAcentral's name for it is "partial 16S ribosomal RNA". It matches the Rfam family "Bacterial small subunit ribosomal RNA", at positions 524 to 776 of the family's 1533-position model. The record is from RNAcentral.
UACGGAGGGUGCGAGCGUUAAUCGGAAUUACUGGGCGUAAAGGGUGCGUAGGUGGUUGAAUAAGUUAUCUGUGAAAGGCCUGGGCUUAACCUAGGGAAGUCAGAUAAGACUGUUGAGCUAGAGUAUGGGAGAGGGUAGUAGAAUUUCCGGUGUAGCGGUGAAAUGCGUAGAGAUCGGAAGGAAUACCGGUGGCGAAGGCGGCUACCUGGCCUAAUACUGACACUGAGGCGCGAAAGCGUGGGGAGCAAACAGG